This 393-nucleotide ribosomal RNA is filed under the name uncultured bacterium. RNAcentral describes it as "partial 16S ribosomal RNA". It matches the Rfam family "Bacterial small subunit ribosomal RNA", at positions 523 to 918 of the family's 1533-position model. The record is from RNAcentral.
AUACGGAGGAUCCGAGCGUUAUCCGGAUUUAUUGGGUUUAAAGGGAGCGUAGGUGGACAGUUAAGUCAGUUGUGAAAGUUUGCGGCUCAACCGUAAAAUUGCAGUUGAUACUGGUUGUCUUGAGUACAGUAGAGGUGGGCGGAAUUCGUGGUGUAGCGGUGAAAUGCUUAGAUAUCACGAAGAACUCCGAUUGCGAAGGCAGCUCACUGGACUGCAACUGACACUGAUGCUCGAAAGUGUGGGUAUCAAACAGGAUUAGAUACCCUGGUAGUCCACACAGUAAACGAUGAAUACUCGCUGUUUGCGAUAUACAGCAAGCGGCCAAGCGAAAGCAUUAAGUAUUCCACCUGGGGAGUACGUCGGCAACGAUGAAACUCAAAUGAAUUGGCGGGG